Molecule: ribosomal RNA, 116 nt
Filed under: Klebsiella oxytoca
Lineage: Bacteria; Pseudomonadati; Pseudomonadota; Gammaproteobacteria; Enterobacterales; Enterobacteriaceae
Source: RNAcentral
UGGCGGCAGUAGCGCGGUGGUCCCACCUGACCCCAUGCCGAACUCAGAAGUGAAACGCCGUAGCGCCGAUGGUAGUGUGGGGUCUCCCCAUGUGAGAGUAGGGAAACUGCCAGGCA